RNAcentral lists this ribosomal RNA (460 nucleotides) under uncultured bacterium. RNAcentral's name for it is "partial 16S ribosomal RNA". It matches the Rfam family "Bacterial small subunit ribosomal RNA", at positions 338 to 795 of the family's 1533-position model. The record is from RNAcentral.
CCUACGGGAGGCAGCAGUGAGGAAUCUUGGUCAAUGGACGAGAGUCUGAACCAGCAAAGCCGCGUGAAGGAUGACUGCCCUAUGGGUUGUAAACUUCUUUUAUAAAGGAAUAAAACGUGGCACGUGUGCCUUUUUGCAUGUACUUUAUGAAUAAGGAACGGCUAACUCCGUGCCAGCAGCCGCGGUCCUACGGAGGAUCCGAGCGUUAUACGGAUUUAUUGGGUUUAAAGGGAGCGUAGAUGGGUUGUUAAGUCAGUUGUGAAAGUUUGCGGCUCAACCGGAAAAUUGCAAUUGAUACUGGCAGUCUUGAGUACAGGAGAGGAAGGCGGAAUUCGUGGUGUAGCGGGGAAAUGCGUAGAUAUUACGAGGAACACCGAUGGCGAAGGCAGCUUACUAAACUGUGACUGACGUUGAUGCGCGAAAGUGUGGGUAGCAAACAGGAUUAGAUACCCCUGUAGUC